RNAcentral lists this ribosomal RNA (848 nucleotides) under Rhagoletis mendax (blueberry fruit fly). RNAcentral describes it as "partial 16S ribosomal RNA". The record is from RNAcentral. Lineage: Eukaryota; Metazoa; Arthropoda; Insecta; Diptera; Tephritidae.
GUUUUUUUAGAAAUAAAUUUAAUUUACAAGUUUUUAAUUUUUUNUUUAUUUAUUAAAAUAAAAAAAUUAUUAAUUUGAAUAUUUUAAGGGAUAAGCUUUAAAAUAAAUUAUUAAAAAUUAGUAAUUUUAAUAUAAAAUGUAUGAAUAGAAUUUUCAAUCAUUUGUAAAUUUGUUAUAAAUUAUUUUAUAAUUUUUAUUAUUUACUAUUAUUUUAAGUUUUUAUAAAAAUUUUUUCAUAAAUUUUUUAUGAAAAUUAAUAAUGAUAAAAUUAGUAUAUUUAUAUUGUACAUAUAAUUUUAUUUGAUAAGUUUAUAUAAAGAACUCGGCAAAUUUAUAUACUCGCCUGUUUAACAAAAACAUGUCUUUUUGAGUUAUUUUUAAAGUCUGACCUGCCCACUGAAUAAUUUUGAAUGGCCGCAGUAUUUUAACUGUGCAAAGGUAGCAUAAUCAUUAGUCUUUUAAUUGAAGGCUGGUAUGAAUGGUUGGACGAAGUAUAAUCUGUUUCAUAAAAAUUUAUUGUAGAAUUUUAUAUUUUAGUUAAAAAGCUAAAAUUUAAUUAAAAGACGAGAAGACCCUAUAAAUCUUUAUAUUUAAUAUAAUUUUAAUUUUUUUGAUGUAUUUUAUUUUAAUUUUAUUAAUUAUUUUGUUGGGGUGAUGUUAAAAUUUAAUGAACUUUUAAUUAUUAAAAAUCAUUAAUUUAUGAUUUAUUGAUCCGUUAAUAACGAUUAUAAGAUUAAGUUACUUUAGGGAUAACAGCGUAAUUUUUUUGGAGAGUUCUUAUCGAUAAAAAAGUUUGCGACCUCGAUGUUGGAUUAAGAUAUAUUUUUAGGUGUAGCCGCUUAAAUAUU